GUCCUUGUAGCUUAACACUAAAGCAUAGCACUGAAGAUGCUAAGAUGGCUGCUCUUUUCCCAAGGACA
This is a transfer RNA of 68 nucleotides. It matches the Rfam family "tRNA". From Rfam's summary of the family: Transfer RNA (tRNA) molecules are approximately 80 nucleotides in length.